Molecule: long non-coding RNA, 694 nt
Filed under: Cricetulus griseus (Chinese hamster)
Lineage: Eukaryota; Metazoa; Chordata; Mammalia; Rodentia; Cricetidae
Description: lncRNA (ENSCGRG00015035319.1)
Source: RNAcentral
GGGGCAGCAAGUGUUUUUCACCGCUGAGCCGUUUCUUUAGUCCAUCCACUUUAUUUUUGAGCAGGGUUCCUCACUGAACCUGGAGCUCCUUGGCUGCCUAGACUGGUGUUCAGCAAGAACUGUCUCCCUGUCUUGGCCUCCCUGGCGCUGGGAUCCAGGCUCAGGUCUAACGCUAUGCUUUCCUCUGGCGCUGGGGUCCAGGCUCAGGUCUAACGCUAUGCUUUCCUCUGGUGCUGGGGUCCAGGCUCAGGCCUAACGCUAUGCUUUCCUCUGGCGCUGGGGUCCAGGCUCAGGCCUAACGCUAUGCUUCCCUGCCAGCUCUUUACUGACUGAGCCAUCUCCCUGGCCCCUCCUGUGACUCCUGAACUAAGACAUGGCUGUGUUUCCUCAGCUACAGGAGCUGUGCCUUCCUCAGUUACGCAGUGUGAGUCUGGUCGUCACUGUCCACAGUAGCGCGUCCUCCUGUCUGUCAAGGGGCUGGGGUGGGACUGACUGAAUGGUUCCAGUCAGGUCAGGGCGCUCCCUUCAUCAAUGCUGCCUUUGCUUCUCCUCUCACAGACACCUGGCAUUAGGAGGUCGUCGGGGUCAUGUGGCUGCCCUCGAUUGGGUGACAAAGAAGCUCAUGUGUGAGAUCAACGUCAUGGAAGCCGUGCAGGACAUCCAGUCAGUGUUUCCUUGCUGGCAGUCGGUGGGA